AGGAUGAACGCUGGCGGCGUGCCUAACACAUGCAAGUCGAACGUCCUGUCUCGCAAGAGGCAGGGAGUGGCGGACGGGUGAGUACCACGUGGGUCAUCUACCGUGAGGUGAGGAAUACCGGCGAGAAAUCGCCGACAAGACCGCAUAGGCUCGAUGCAAGUCGAGCAAAGCUCUUUCGAGAGAGGGAGCGCCACACGAGGAGCCUGCGCCCGAUUAGCUAGCUGGUGGAGUAACGGUUCACCAGGGCGACGAUCGGUAGCUGGUCUGAGAGGACGAUCAGCCACACUGGGAUUGAGAACGGCCCAGACUCCGUACGGGGGCAGCAGUGAGGAAUUUCGUCAAUGGGGCAACCCUGAACGAGCAACGCCGCGUGCAGGAAGAGGUUUCGGAUCGUAAACUGCUUUCGUCGGGAAGAGAAUGGACGGUACCCGAGGAAUCAGCCCGGCUAACUACGUGCCAGCAGCCGCGGU
Molecule: ribosomal RNA, 470 nt
Filed under: uncultured bacterium
Lineage: Bacteria
Description: SSU rRNA
Rfam family: Bacterial small subunit ribosomal RNA
Source: RNAcentral